This 465-nucleotide ribosomal RNA is filed under the name uncultured bacterium. Its description in RNAcentral is "partial 16S ribosomal RNA". It matches the Rfam family "Bacterial small subunit ribosomal RNA", at positions 28 to 507 of the family's 1533-position model. The record is from RNAcentral.
GACGAACGCUGGCGGCGUGCUUAACACAUGCAAGUCGAACGGAAAGGCCCCUUUGGGGGUACUCGAGUGGCGAACGGGUGAGUAACACGUGAGUAACCUGCCCUUGACUUCGGGAUAACUUCAGGAAACUGGGGCUAAUACCGGAUAGGAAUCCUUGCUGCAUGGUGGGGGUUGGAAAGCUUCGGCGGUUUUGGAUGGACUCGCGGCUUAUCAGCUUGUUGGUGGGGUAGUGGCUUACCAAGGCUUUGACGGGUAGCCGGCCUGAGAGGGCGACCGGCCACAUUGAGACUGAGAUACGGCCCAGACUCCUACGGGAGGGAGCAGUGGGGAAGAUUGCAGAAUGGGCGGAAGCCGGAUGCAGCAACGCCGCGUGCGGGAUGACGGCCUUCGGGUUGUAAACCGCUUUCGGCAGGGGCGAAGCUUGUGGUGACGGUACCUGCAGAAGAAGCACCGGCUAACUACGUG